UGGGGAAUAUUGGACAAUGGGCGCAAGCCUGAUCCAGCCAUGCCGCGUGAGUGAUGAAGGCCUUAGGGUUGUAAAGCUCUUUCACCCGUGACGAUAAUGACGGUAACGGGAGAAGAAGCACCGGCUAACUUCGUGCCAGCAGCCGCGGUAAUACGAAGGGGGCUAGAGUUGUUCGGAAUCACUGGGCGUAGAGCGCACGUAGGCGGAUUGAUCAGUCAGGGGUGAAAUCCCGGGGCUCAACCUCGGCACUGCCUUUGAUACUGUCAGUCUUGAGUUCGGGAGAGGUGAGUGGAACUCCGAGUGUAGAGGUGAAAUUCGUAGAUAUUCGGAAGAACACCAGUGGUGAAGGCGGCUCACUGGCCCGAUACUGACGCUGAGGUGCGAAAGCGUGGGGAGCAAACA
Molecule: ribosomal RNA, 402 nt
Filed under: uncultured prokaryote
Description: bacterial SSU rRNA
Rfam family: Bacterial small subunit ribosomal RNA
Source: RNAcentral